UACGAAGGGGGCUAGCGUUGCUCGGAAUCACUGGGCGUAAAGGGUGCGUAGGCGGGUCUUUUAAGUCAGGGGUGAAAUCCUGGAGCUCAACUCCAGAACUGCCUUUGAUACUGAAGAUCUUGAGUUCGGGAGAGGGUGAGUGGAACUGCGAAGUGUAGAGGUGAAAUUCGUAGAUAUUCGCAAGAACACCCGUGGCGAAGGCGGCUCUCUGGGACGGUACUGGACGCUGAGA
RNAcentral lists this ribosomal RNA (232 nucleotides) under uncultured bacterium. RNAcentral describes it as "partial 16S ribosomal RNA". It matches the Rfam family "Bacterial small subunit ribosomal RNA", at positions 524 to 751 of the family's 1533-position model. The record is from RNAcentral.